RNAcentral lists this ribosomal RNA (518 nucleotides) under uncultured Archaeospora. RNAcentral describes it as "SSU rRNA". It matches the Rfam family "Eukaryotic small subunit ribosomal RNA", at positions 571 to 1092 of the family's 1831-position model. Lineage: Eukaryota; Fungi; Glomeromycota; Glomeromycetes; Archaeosporales; Archaeosporaceae. The record is from RNAcentral.
CAGCCGCGGUAAUCCAGCUCCAAUAGCGUAUAUUAAAGUUGUUGCAGUUAAAAAGCUCGUAGUUGAAUUUUGGAUUCUUCCAAUUGGUCCAUCUUUUAGAUGAGUACUGGUUGUGUGGGGUCUAUCCGCCUGGUGAUACGUAAUGUCCUUUAUUGGAUGUUUCGGGUAGUCAGGACCUUUACCUUGAAAAAAUUAGAGUGUUUAAAGCAGGCUUAUGCCGGAAUACAUUAGCAUGGAAUAAUAGAAUAGGACGAAGUUGUUUUAUUUUGUUGGUUUCUAGGACAACCGUAAUGAUUAAUAGGGAUAGUUGGGGGCAUUAGUAUUCAAUUGUCAGAGGUGAAAUUCUUGGAUUUAUUGAAGACUAACUACUGCGAAAGCAUUUGCCAAGGAUGUUUUCAUUAAUCAAGAACGAAAGUUAGGGGAUCGAAGACGAUCAGAUACCGUCGUAGUCUUAACCAUAAACUAUGCCGACUAGGGAUCGGGCGAUGUUGUUUCCAUGACUCGCUCGGCACCUUAUG